Molecule: ribosomal RNA, 287 nt
Filed under: uncultured Pseudomonas sp.
Lineage: Bacteria; Pseudomonadati; Pseudomonadota; Gammaproteobacteria; Pseudomonadales; Pseudomonadaceae
Description: partial 16S ribosomal RNA
Rfam family: Bacterial small subunit ribosomal RNA
Source: RNAcentral
GCGCAACCCUUGUCCUUAGUUACCAGCACGUUAUGGUGGGCACUCUAAGGAGACUGCCGGUGACAAACCGGAGGAAGGUGGGGAUGACGUCAAGUCAUCAUGGCCCUUACGGCCUGGGCUAUACACGUGCUACAAUGGUCGGUACAAAGGGUUGCCAAGCCGCGAGGUGGAGCUAAUCCCAUAAAACCGAUCGUAGUCCGGAUCGCAGUCUGCAACUCGACUGCGUGAAGUCGGAAUCGCUAGUAAUCGUGAAUCAGAAUGUCACGGUGAAUACGUUCCCGGGCCUU